RNAcentral lists this ribosomal RNA (466 nucleotides) under uncultured bacterium. RNAcentral describes it as "partial 16S ribosomal RNA". It matches the Rfam family "Bacterial small subunit ribosomal RNA", at positions 28 to 507 of the family's 1533-position model. The record is from RNAcentral.
GAUGAACGCUGGCGGCGUGCUUAACACAUGCAAGUCGAACGGAAAGGCCCAAGCUUGCUUGGGUACUCGAGUGGCGAACGGGUGAGUAACACGUGGGUGAUCUGCCCUGCACUUCGGGAUAAGCCUGGGAAACUGGGUCUAAUACCGGAUAGGACCACAUUUUGGAUGGUGUGGUGGAAAGUUUUUCGGUGUGGGAUGAGCUCGCGGCCUAUCAGCUUGUUGGUGGGGUAAUGGCUUACCAAGGCGUCGACGGGUAGCCGGCCUGAGAGGGUGUACGGCCACACUGAGUCUGAGGGGCGGCCCAGGUGCGGACUGGAGGCAGAAGGGGGGAAUCUUGCACCAGGGGCGCCAGCCUGAUGAAGCGGCGCCGCGGGGGGGAUGACGGCCUUCGGGUGGUAGACUCCUUUCGCUAGGGACGAAGCGUGAUGUGACGGUACCUGGAGAAGAAGCACCGGCUAACUACGUG